GACGAACGCUGGCGGCGUGCUUAACACAUGCAAGUCGAACGGAAAGGCCCUGCUUUUGUGGGGUGCUCGAGUGGCGAACGGGUGCGUAACACGUGAGUAACCUGCCCUUGACUUUGGGAUAACUUCAGGAAACUGGGGCUAAUACCGGAUAGGAGCUCCUGCUGCAUGGUGGGGGUUGGAAAGUUUCGGCGGUUGGGGAUGGACUCGCGGCUUAUCAGCUUGUUGGUGGGGUAGUGGCUUACCAAGGCUUUGACGGGUAGCCGGCCUGAGAGGGUGACCGGCCACAUUGGGACUGAGAGACGGCCCAGACUCCUACGGGAGGCAGCAGUGGGUAAUAUUGCACAAUGGGCGGAAGCCUGAUGCAGCAACGCCGCGUGCGGGAUGACGGCCUUCGGGUUGUAAACCGCUUUCGCCUGUGACGAAGCGUGAGUGACGGUAAUGGGUAAAGAAGCACCGGCUAACUACGUG
RNAcentral lists this ribosomal RNA (468 nucleotides) under uncultured bacterium. RNAcentral's name for it is "partial 16S ribosomal RNA". It matches the Rfam family "Bacterial small subunit ribosomal RNA", at positions 28 to 507 of the family's 1533-position model. The record is from RNAcentral.